UACGGAGGAUCCGAGCGUUAUCCGGAUUUAUUGGGUUUAAAGGGAGCGUAGGCGGCCCUCUAAGUCAGGGGUGAAAGACAGCGGCUCAACCGUUGCAGUGCCCUUGAUACUGGGGGGCUUGAAUGCACCUGAGGUAGGCGGAAUGUGGCAAGUAGCGGUGAAAUGCAUAGAUAUGCCACAGAACACCGAUUGCGGAGGCAGCUUACCAAAGUGCGAUUGACGCUGAGGCUCGAAAGCGUGGGGAUCAAACAGG
This 253-nucleotide ribosomal RNA is filed under the name uncultured bacterium. RNAcentral describes it as "partial 16S ribosomal RNA". It matches the Rfam family "Bacterial small subunit ribosomal RNA", at positions 524 to 776 of the family's 1533-position model. The record is from RNAcentral.